This 251-nucleotide ribosomal RNA is filed under the name uncultured Gardnerella sp. RNAcentral's name for it is "partial 16S ribosomal RNA". It matches the Rfam family "Bacterial small subunit ribosomal RNA", at positions 103 to 355 of the family's 1533-position model. Lineage: Bacteria; Bacillati; Actinomycetota; Actinomycetes; Bifidobacteriales; Bifidobacteriaceae. The record is from RNAcentral.
CGGGUGAGUAAUGCGUGACCAACCUGCCCCAUGCUCCAGAAUAGCUCUUGGAAACGGGUGGUAAUGCUGGAUGCUCCAACUUGACGCAUGUCUUGUUGGGAAAGUGUUUAGUGGCAUGGGAUGGGGUCGCGUCCUAUCAGCUUGUAGGCGGGGUAAUGGCCCACCUAGGCUUCGACGGGUAGCCGGCCUGAGAGGGCGGACGGCCACAUUGGACUGAGAUACGGCCCAGACUCCUACGGGAGGCAGCAGCC